AAGUCGUAACAAGGUCUCCGUAGGUGAACCUGCGGAGGGAUCAUUACACAAAUAUGAAGGCGGGCUGGAACCUCUCGGGGUUACAGCCUUGCUGAAUUAUUCACCCUUGUCUUUUGCGUACUUCGUGUUUCCUUGGUGGGUUCGCCCACCACUAGGACAAACAUAAACCUUUUGUAAUUGCAAUCAGCGUCAGUAACAAAUUAAUAAUUACAACUUUCAACAACGGAUCUCUUGGUUCUG
RNAcentral lists this unclassified non-coding RNA (240 nucleotides) under Alternaria sp. RNAcentral's name for it is "partial internal transcribed spacer region". The stretch from base 1 to 46 matches the Rfam family "Eukaryotic small subunit ribosomal RNA", at positions 1786 to 1831 of the family's 1831-position model. The record is from RNAcentral. Lineage: Eukaryota; Fungi; Ascomycota; Dothideomycetes; Pleosporales; Pleosporaceae.